RNAcentral lists this long non-coding RNA (261 nucleotides) under Hordeum vulgare. RNAcentral's name for it is "long non-coding RNA (HVUL_LNC010836)". Lineage: Eukaryota; Viridiplantae; Streptophyta; Magnoliopsida; Poales; Poaceae. The record is from RNAcentral.
ACAGUGUUGAUCUUGACAUUGUCAUAGAUGAUUUUGCAUCAACAAAUGCACGAAAGUCUCGCUUCUCAUGAUUAAUGGAGGUUUGCUAGGAUGCUAUUUCUAUAUUCUUUUCGUGCAUUGUAGCUUCUAUGAUACUUGAGUUUGAACAAAGACAUGAAAAAUAUCAGAUAUUUGAUUCUAAGGAAAUAUAACUACUCUAUAUGACUUCAUAAUAUAUGUAAUUGUUCGUGUAUCGAUCGAAGAAAAAAAUCUUGGUUGGGC